GACAGAGGGUGCAAACGUUGCUCGGAAUCACUGGGCGUAAAGGGCGCGUAGGCGGCGUUUUUAAGUCGGGGGUGAAAGCCUGUGGCUCAACCACAGAAUGGCCUUUGAUACUGCGAGUCUUGAGUCCGAUAGAGGUGGGUGGAAUUCCUAGUGUAGAGGUGAAAUUCGUAGAUAUUAGGAAGAACACCAGUGGCGAAGGCGGCCCACUGGAUCGGUACUGACGCUGAGGUGCGAAAGCGUGGGGAGCAAACAGG
Molecule: ribosomal RNA, 254 nt
Filed under: uncultured bacterium
Lineage: Bacteria
Description: partial 16S ribosomal RNA
Rfam family: Bacterial small subunit ribosomal RNA
Source: RNAcentral